AGCUCUGGAGAGCCAGUGGGUAGUGGUUUGACUGUGACUCAGGAAACCAGGGUUCAAAUCCCUGCUGAGUGA
This is a non-coding RNA of Phrynosoma platyrhinos (Desert horned lizard), 72 nucleotides long. NCBI's taxonomy places the organism in Eukaryota, Metazoa, Chordata, Lepidosauria, Squamata, Phrynosomatidae. The record is from the annotation of a GenBank genome assembly.